AUGCUUUUUAACAUCUUUAUGCGCCCCCUCGCCCAGCUUGUCCGGAGUUUUGGGCUGGGUUGCCAUCAGUAUGCCGAUGACACCCAACUCUAUCUGUUGAUGGAUGGCCAUCCUGACUCGGCCCCAGACACACUGACCAGAUGUUUGGAAGCUGUGGCUGGAUGGUUACGUGGAAGCCGGUUGAAGUUAAAUCCUUCGAAGACAGAGGUCCUCUGGCUGGGACGGGACGAUAUGGGAUUGGGGGCAACUCCCAUCUCUUGCGGGGUGCAAUUAGUGCCAGCACCGUCCGUUAAGAGUUUGGGUGUAAUCUUCGAUACCUCCUUUCUAUGGAGGCGCAGAUUACAGCUAUAACAAAGGUGGCAUUUUUCAUCUCCGCCAAGCUAAGCAGUUGGCCCCUUAUCUCUCUCGCCCUGACCUAGCCACUGUGAUCCACGCGACGGUCACCUCCAGACUGGAUUAUUGUAACUCGCUCUACGUGGGGCUGCCCUUGAGACUGACCCAGAAACUCCAGCGGGUGCAGAAUGCCGCGGCGAGACUCCUUAUGGGGUCUUCGCUGCGAGAUCACAUUCAUCCGGUACUAUACCAGCUGCACUGGCUCCCGGUGGAGUACAGGAUCAGGUUUAAGGUGCUGGUUUUAACCUUUAAAGCCCUAUACGGCCUAGGACCCUCGUACCCUACGGGACCGCCUCUCCUGGUAUGCCCCACAGAGGAACCUACGGUCUGCAAAUAAAAACAUCCUGAAGGUCCCAGGCCUCAGAGAGGUUAGGCUGGCCUCAACUAGAGCCAGGGCUUUCUCGGCUGCGGCUCCAAUCUGGUGGAACGCUCUGUCACAAGAGACUAGGGCCCUGCAGGACCUGACAUCUUUCCGCAGGGCCUGUAAGACAGAGCUGUUCCACCAGGCCUUUGGUCAGGGCCCAGCCUGACUCCCUCCUCUGGCAACCUGCACAGAACUUUGCUUAACGGUUGCCAUUAAUUUGAUUUUAAUUAAUUUUUAUAAUGAAAUGUUUUAGAAUGUUGGAUUAUUUGAUUGUUUGAUUAUUUGAUUGUUGUUAGCCGCCCUGAGCCUGGCUUUGGCUGGGGAGGGCGGGAUAUAAAUAAAAUUUAUUAUUAUUAUUAUUAUUAUUAUUAUUAACCUGAGGAUUGCUUGUAAUAAUAAUAAUAAUAAUAAUAAUAAUAAUAAUAAUAGUAAAUGUAUUUUUAAUCUCCUGUCAGAAGCCGCCCAGAGUGGCUGGGGAAACCCGGCCAGAUGGGCGGGGUAGAAAUAAUAAAUUAUCAUCAUCAUUAUUAUUAUCAAGUAGGGGCAGGAAUCACUAAAACGCCCCCAAGAUGAAACAACAUGAAGGUUUUCGUCCACCAUUGGGGAUUAUUGCAGUAAGAGGUCCCAACACACUUGACUGGUGUAUAGAUUUUAAAAUGGAGCUUGGCAUGCACUUAAGAAACCUAAAAUGAAAAUUAAGAUCCAUUGGAAAAUAUAGUCUGGCCCCCCACAAGGUCAGAGGGACAGUGGACCGGCCCCCUGCUGAAAAAGUUUGCUGACUCCUACUAUAUGGUAAUUUAGGGACCUAAUAGGUCUCUAAAGCCAUUUGCACAUAACAAAUAGGAGCCUACACAACACAAAACACUGUUGCUGUAGGUCAGUUUUAUUUUAUUUGUUUUUUAUCUUCUAUUUUGGAAAUGUACAUCCAGAGGUUUUUUCCCCUUUUAAAAUUUUUUGGGGGCCUCCAAGAGAGUGGGGCCCUAAACUAGAGCUUGUUGAGCUUAUACGUAAAUCCGGCACUGGGUGUCCUUCUGACUUUCCAAGGCAGCCCACCUUAGUCACCAAAAGCACAGAUGACCAGAGGUAUUUACGUUUUUAGACACGCUAUUCACAACUUAACAGCAACGGAAUGGCAAUAUGAAAGCAGAAUAGCUAAUAUUACGGAUGGAUUGAAUGACUGCCCCUUAUUGAUUUACCGCAUUUCCCCAUGUAUAAGACGCCCCCAUGUAUAAGAUGACCCCUCUUUUUUGAGCCCAAAAUAAAGAAAGAAAUAAUGGCAACAUUCCAUGUAUAGGACAAACCCCCCCCCCCCAUUUUAAGCUUGGGGAGGGGAAUAUAGUCUUAUACAGGGAAAAAUACAAUACCUUUCAUACCUAGACAAGAUAAAACAUUGUUUUUAGAUGCUACAACCACAGCAAGAAUAUUACUAGCCUAACGAUGAAAGCAAGAAGAGAUCCCAACGAAAGAAGAGAGGCAGAUGAAAUUAAUGGACUAUGCUGAAUUGGUGAAAUUGACUGGGAAAAUUCGGAACUGGCAGGACCAGAAUUUCUUGAAAGACUGGAAUAAAUUUAUGUUGUAUUUAAAAGACAACUGUAAACAAUUGACAUCACUAGUAGGGUUACAAGAAGCUUUGUAGGUUAAAUUAUCAUUUAUUACUUAAUGCAAUUCACAAAUUGUUUUUUAAGAUUAUGAUUUAACAGUAAUAUUAAUAAGAACAAAAUGCAUACCAGAGAUUGAGUUGGAAAACCAUUGCGUGGACAGGCGGAGUCCCCAGAUCCCGAGCGGUCCCCCCCCCCCCGUCAUGUGGAAUAACGACUCAAGACAACAUGCUAUGGGAUUAAAUUGGCCACAACUUUAUUAAAUUUCAAAUGUGGGUAGACCUUGGCUCAGGCAUUGGGCGUUCUCCCUCCCCAGUCCCCAGCCGGGGACCUAGGGAGCAUCAGGGUUAUCCAGUGUGGGGGGGGGGAUGGGCCGGCUCUGGAGAACAUAUGUUCAAGCAGAGAUAGCCGCCCCUGUUACGCCGCCGCUGCAGGGGAGAGCAAUGAUGACCUUUCGGCGUACGGUCAAAGCCUCCCUUCAGAAACCCCUUUAACGGGGAACCCUGGUAUCGCCGCCGCAAAGAGGAAGAUGGACUAAAGGAUUCCGCCCAAGGCCUGAUACCGCCAAAGUUGUGACGUUUUGCUACGGGAAAGGCGAAACCUGCCAAUGCAGGGAAAUUCCUUUCCGGCCCUUUAACAGCAACCUUGACGUAGCAACGCCCGCAUACCUGUGAAGAAAAGUUAACCUGCAAAACCUGUGAAGAAAAGUUAACCUGCAAAAUAAGACAUUAACUGAGGGUGGGUAGGGGGGAGAAGCUCUGGAGCCAAGUGAGGAUUCCCAGGUAAGAUCCUCCCUCUAUUGUGUGUGCAGGUAAUCCCUCCCAUACCUGGCCUGGUCUCCUUGGCAACGCUUCCCCCAGGUGGGAUUGGACAACUGACUGAGGUAGGCGGAGACCUCCAGGUAUCCCACCUGAGGGAAGGCAAGCCAAGCCUAUGCUGUUGGAGCCACUCCAGAUCUAGGGGCUGUGCGCGUCCAUGCAAAGGGCGCCCCCCGUUUUAAGCGGGGAGCGGUCAUUAGUCAAGGAGGGAAGUUCUAGGCUUAUCAGACAAACGUUUCUAUAUUUAAUUUAUAGGAAAGUUGUUAUGAUGGAAAAUUUUGAAAAACCAAUAAAAUUAUAAUUAUAAAUAUAUAUAUAUUAGAGAUUAAUUUGGAAAACCAUUAGUCGAGGAGGAGGGAAGUCUUAGGCUGAAAUAGCCAAAUGGUUUUAUAUUUUGUAUAAUAGAUGGAUGUUUCAAUGGAAAAUAUUUGGAAAAACCAAUAAAAAUUAUUAUAAAUAUUUUAAAAUACAGUACCUUUCCUCCUCUUCUCUUUGAGCUCUCUCCUGGUCUUCGUGCUCCCUCUGCUCCCUCGCAAGAUGGUGCUUCUCGGCCAAGAUCCUCGCUGCGUCUUCAGCUGUUGUGGUCGCCGGAGCGGUUUUGCUACUUGCAUCUGGAAAAAGAAGGGGUCGGAAUGAAUGGAGCCAGUUGUCGGCGCAACCGCCUUAUCCUCUGAAAAGCGUUCCCUGUAUUAAGUCCUGUUUCCUGCCUAGGCAGUGAAAGCCAAAAGUUAGCUAUUUUGUAUCAGAUGGGAUGUUAUGUUUGGAAAACAAGUGCAGAAACCAAUAAAAACAUUAUAUAUGUGUUUGUUUGUGCCUCCCAUGAGAUCGGACCCCCAGUAGUGCCAGAAAUUCAGGGUCAAUACAUUUGGAGGGAAACCAAAAUGCUCGUUGUCAGGGGUUCAGGGAGAGAGGCACAGGGUAGGCAGGAGAUGGAGAGCGAUGGGGAGGAAUUCCAAGCCAGCGAGGAAGAGGAUGACAAUGACUCAAGAGAUUCCAUGAGUCUUUCCAGCGAAUCAGAGGAUUCCCAGAAGGGGCGCCGGUGGUCAAGGCCAGGGAGCCCAAGGGGGGAAGUGUCAGGAGCAGGGUGCCAGCGGAGGAUCCCAAAGUGGCAGCUGGGCGUCAGGACCAGCCUCCCCACCAGAGUGCAGCGAAGGGGGUGGAGUUUCCAGUGUGUCAGAGGAAGCAGCUCCAGCAGCAGAGAAAGGAGGGGGUCAGAGCAAGCCGCCCUCCCGGAAGAGGAGGGGAGCAGUGAAGGGAGUAGUGUAACUGUCAAAAGGAAAGUUAGAGGUUUGGCGCGCGCGCCUAGUUCAAAUGUAGAGGCGCGCGGAAGUGCAGGGAGCCCGGAGGAGGGGCCAGGUCCCAAAGCCCGCAGGAGGGGGAAGAGCAGUCUGAUUCCGCGUCAGAGGAAUCCAGGAGGGGCGAAACCCCAGUGGGCAGAAGGACCCUGCGGAAAAGGAAGGAGAGAAAGCGGUGGAGCAGCGCAAGUCUCUUAAAUUGGUGCAGGGAGGGACUGACUCAGAGGGAACUUCAGCGGUCUAGCGUAAGAGACGUAAGGCUGCGCGCCUAGGAUGUCAAGCAAACCAUGAACUGCAAUAAACACCUUUGUAUAUAAGAAGACAUAGGCGUUGGUCUUUUGUGAGCUAAGACUUGAGGCAGCCUUGACACUCGUUUACAAAGCUAUUUUACUACCAACCUUACUGUAUGCUUGUGAAACAUGGACCACUUAUCAACGCCAUCGCCAACUCCUCCAAAGUCUCCAUCAGAGGCAGGUAUGACCAAAGUUUUGGUGGACCUGUGGCAGUAUAUAUGUCAUGGGGUAAAAUCCUAAAAAAAGCUCAACAACUUUGGUUGGUCCUCACGCAUGUUCACUUCAUCAAAUCUGGCCCUAUUUGAAAAAAGUUUGGGCACCCCUGAUCAAAGGUGUCUCUGGAAAUUUUUACAUAUCACUCGGGAAUGCAGGCGAACUAAUGCCAGCGUACUGGAAGAAGCAAAGAUUGCCAGUGUUGAAGCAAUGAUUCUUCAACCUCAACUUUUGACCAGUCGUGUUGCGUAUCAUCUUCCAAAGCAACUCCUCUAUUCCGAAUUUAAGAAUGGAAAGCGUCGUGCUGGUGGUCCACAAAAGAGGUUGACAGAUUUCAAGGCAAAGCUGAAAAAACGUAGUAUAACACCGACAACUGGGAAACACUGGCCGGUGAGCGCUCCAAUGGGAGAACAGCCUUGACCAAAGGUGUCCUGGGCUUUGGAGACACUCGAACUCAGGACGCAAGGGAGAAACGGGUGAAGAGGAAGGAAGCCUCACCGGUAUCGACUCCCGCCUGGAAACCAAUGUCCCCACUGUGGAAGGACAUGCGGAUCCAGAAUUGGCCUGCACAGUCACUUGCAGACUCACUGUUAAAACUGUGUUUAUGGAAGACAAUCUGACUUGGCUACAAGGGAUCGCCAAAGAGAGGAGGGGGGGAGGAGGGGGAGAAAAAUAAAAAGAAGGAGGAGAAAAAGAAGGAGGAGGAGAUCCUGAAGGUAGAGUAAGGUGAUCCUCACCUUCAAUUCAGUAAAGAACAAGAGCCCAAUUAGCACAACCCCUCGAGUUGAUGUAGGAGUUCCCAUAGCUCUGUGGAACGGUACAUGCAAUGGAGGUAGAAGACCUCCAGUUCAAGCCUUAUAAAGUUAUAAAGACCAGGGUGGAUUUGAUUGAAAUCCAAUCAAUUUAAAUCCCGAUUUAAAUCACUAGUCAGUAAGACUUACCGUAAUUUAAAUCAUUUUUUUUAACAGAAAGGUUCAACCUUGCUGGCAUCCUCUUCAUAUUGACAACCAGAGGAAGGUUUCCUUUUUGGAGGAAUAAUUUUUUACAGUUCUAUCAAAAUGACUGAUUUGGUUCUACUCUUAGAAAUACAUUGACAGAUAAUGAUGAAAUGAUGGUGAGGUUUAAUAAGUUAACGGUUUCUGUUUGGACAACUUUUCUGCUGUACAGUCAUACCUCGGGUUCAAGACGCUUCAGGUUGCGUUUUUUUGGGUUACGGACCCACCAAAAUCCGGAAGUACCAGAACGGGUUACUUCCAGGUUUCAGCGGUUGCGCAUGCGCAAAAACGCUAAAUUGCGCUUUGCGCAUAAGCACCAAAUCGCAACCCGCGCGUGCACAGAUGCGCUGCUGCGGGUUGCAAACACUGCGGGUUGCGAAUGUGCAUCCUGCACAGAUCACGUUCAGAACCUGAGCGUCCACUGUACUUGAUUGGAAGGAGAAAAAUAAUCAUUUCUGUUAUGUGUGCCGGUGUGGUUGCUCGAGAGCGAACAGGCAAGACCCCCACUGGUCUUUUCAAAGUCUUUAUUAUCGAUGCAAAAACAUUCACAGUGCAGAACGUCUCAAUUCCAUGUUUUGCUCAGUCACUAGCAGAAUCUGGGAGUGGGCGGUCCUUAAACUUUCCCCAGCAGAAUAGUCUCUUUGACCCCCAUCCUACGCCUCCCCUCUCUGCGCGUAAACCUACUGCUCAGAGAGGGCGUGGGCAGAGGGGGACCUGCCUCCCCCCCCUGCUUAUUUCAGGCUCAGUGCUCUGGCUCUCCCUUGCAUACUCUGAGCCCUGCAUCCCUUCUAGGGCCCUGCAUCCCUUCCCCACUGGAGGUGUAGCUUCCCUCCUCCACAGAGGAAGUGCUGCUUCUCACGAUCUUUGGAUGCUCCCUGUAACCCAACUGCCCUUCCACCUCUCGCCUCUGAGCUGAUGGCAGUUCCCUGAAAAUUUCCUUUGUAACAAUUUAAACCAUUUAUUUCGCUAAAACAAUAACAUGGUAGCAUAUGGAUCCAUGUUUGUUAACUGAUGUGGUUAAACUAUUAGAAAUACAUUGAAAGAUAAUUAUGAAAUUAUUGUGUGGUUUAAUAAGUUAACUGCUUCUAUUUGGACAACUUUUGUGCUGUACUAGAUUGGAAGGAUAAAAAUAAUCAUUUCCUUCAUAACAAUUUAAACAAUUAAUUUCACUAAAACAAUAACAUGAUAGCAUAUAACAAGUUUAAUCAAGAUGGCGCUGGGGUAAGACGCACCUGUUAGAGCUCCUCAAUUAGAUGUUGGGGGCUCCUACUCCUACAAAAGGCUAAACUAAUUGUAAAUAAUGUGGUGACGGAAGAAUUUAGGAUAGAAAAAGGGACAAGACAAGGUUGCCCAAUUUCCCCAUUGCUUUUUAUAUCGGUCCUGGAGGUUUUGCUGAAUAUGAUUAGAAGGGAACUGACUCUGACUCAGGCUUUGACUCGGCGUUUUAAAUGAACUAAGGGAGGUGGAGCUGUGUUGCAGGAGUGUUCCGUUUGGGCUUGCCUCUGCCCUCUUGGCUUGUGGGUCCAACUGUGCUGUGUGCCUGCUCUGUCCUCCCAGCUGUGGGUCCGGCUGUCUUGCAUGCCAGCGGUGCUCCUGGACUGAGACACACUGGUUGAGUGCUCGGCAUGGAGCCUGGGUCAAGAUAUAUUACUCUGCAGAUGACUCAAUUGAAAGGCAUCUAGGGAAGCCGGGGGGGGGGGUUCCACCCUCAAGAAGCCAGAGACUCUUAAGCCACAGGGCUGGCAGCUGGUUGCAGCAGAGGAGAGGUAUCAUCCUGUGGCCCUGAGAACACCAGCUGUGGGGGAAACCAGAGGACUCCUGAUGCCAAGAGGAACACCUUCUCUGCCACUACAAAUGCUAGCGCAACAGCAAGAGGAGGGCCCCCUGAGACCAUCGGGCAUGGCAUUGACAUCGAACAGGCAUUUACUGAGCCUGCCCCGCCUUCCUCUGCCCAUGCCCCGAUGUCGCCUGGUUGUUCAGGUUGGCAGAUUCAGAGAUCAUUCGAGCAGACUCGAGCUGACACAUGAUGCUACAAGAACUUUGUGUUGCUACAAGAACUUCGUCUGCUACAAGAACCAUUUCCCCCCUUUUCCCCCUCCCCCCUUCCUUUGCCAUUUGUUUUAGUCCUUUGUUUCAUGAUAAUAUUUGUCCAUUGUUUCAUGAUAAUAUUUAAGUUUUUGCUUGCUUACUGUUAGAUGCUUGAUUGUUGUUCUCCUGUUAUUUAGGUGUUUUUUCUUUCUUUGUGUACGUUAUAUGGUAGUUCUGUUUAGCUGUGGAAUGUUUUGGGGUUUAUUUUUUAAUUUAAUUAAUUGGUUUGUCUAAUAUUAUAAUAGUAGGCUGACAAAGAAUAUAAUAGUUUCAUAUAAUCAGAGAGGUAGCUGAUGUUUAGCUGGCUUGUUCUACUCGACUAAUUAGAGUUAUCGAGUUGUUGAUACUAUAAGCAGAACAACUAGGCUGGGAAAGAAUAACAUCAAUUGCCAUCAAUAGAGGCUAGUAUGAGGCUUGGGAUUGCUACCGUGGAGGGGCGAGGGAGGUAUGGCGGUGGGGGCAGAUGUCAUAGGCGAAGGGGAUCGAGAUACGGAUAUGCUCGUACCCCUUCCAAUCUGCGCCCCAUCCCGAGGGACGAGGGUAGGGUGAGCAAGGAUUACUCACUGAGGAGAUUUCACCCCUCCCAUAUCCAAGAAUCUCCUGAGGAGUCUGCUGAUUCUCCAGAGAGGAGGAGGCGUGUUCUGCUCUCUACUUAUUCUGCUCCAGCACCGAGUCAGUCAGUCAGUCAGUCAGUGUCGGAGAGAGAGAGAGAGAGAGACUGAGUGUUAGAGAUCGUGUGUAGAGAUAAGGUUGCUGCUAAGAGCAGCUGCAGACACUCAGUGCAGUGCAGCAUUCAUUUAUGCUUAGACCUAUUUAGCUCUGUAUAUAGUUGUAUAAUAGUUGUAGAUAGAAUAAAGAAGAUAUUCUACAGAGCUGCUCUCCGAGUUGUUUAUAUACUCUGCUAGAGUCUGCUGUACUCUGCUGUGCGACGACUGUCUUCUUGUGGAAGUGAAUCUGGUGCUCACAACUCUAAGCUGUGAGUCCACAGCACUUUGACCUGUUCCUGUGCAGAAGGUGGUCUCUGGAAGUGCUACCCAGCUCGCCUAGCCCAGUCGGGGCUGAAGUGGAUGAGUCCAGUUGGUGGCACUGGCUCUAGGGCGAUGCUGACACUCACCUCCGUCACUGGUGCUGUGCAAUGCCAGGUCUAUAGGCAACAAAACCACCACCCUGCAAGAUUUCUUUACCUUGCAGGGGGUCGACCUGGCUUGUGUGAUGGAGACCUGGGUGUGCGAAGGGGAAAUAGUUAACUUACGAGAGAUGGCGCCCCCGGGUUUCUCCGUCCUCCACCAGUCGCGGACUGUGGGCCUGGGGGGGAUAGAGGGGUGGCAUUAUUAAUCCGGGAAGAUUCUUCUUUCAGGGCUCUACCAUCGCAAUCGAUCCCCAGCAUUGAAUGUGUUGGCCUAGUGUGAGGAGAGCUUGGCUGUCUGGCCGGUGUACUGGCCACGUAGCGCACCAGCAGCCACCUUGUCAGGCCUACUGGAGGCAGUGGCCAGCUGGGCCUUGGAGUUUCCUAACCUAUUGGUAUUGGGGGACUUCAACAUCCAUGCUGAUGCCACUCCCUCCUCACAGGCUCUGGACCUGGUGUCUUCCAUGGCAACACUAGGGCUCUCCCAGUUUGUUUCGGGCCCCACACAUCAAGCAGGCCACAUGCUGGAUUUGAUCUUUGGUGUAGGUAUAGAUGUGAUCAUGUCUCCUUCGAUGAAGGUGCCAUGGUCUGAUCACUACGCUCUGAAAGCCAGGAUUGACUUUCCACCCCCACCCUGCUUAGGUGACGAGCCGAUUUGGGCUCGCCUGCAGAGGCUGAUGGACCCUUAUAGAUUCCGUCAAGCCUUGUGGGACCUUGCUCCCCCUGGUGACUCAUUGACUGAGCUUCUUGAGGGCUGGAAUACCCAGCUCCUGGCAGCCAUUGAUGAGAGCGCACCUAAGCGCCCUCUGCGACCCCGCAGAAACCGGGCUCCGGAAGCGGAACCUCAGACGGCUAGAGCGAGUGUGGCAGGGUGCCCGCAAUGGAGCCUCAAGAACAUCUUACAGGGUUUUUAUGAAAACCUACGAGAUGGCAGUGAAGGCCGCUAAGAAGUCUUACUUCUUGGCCUCCAUUGCAUCCGCUAGCUCUCGCCCGGAGCAAUUAUUUAGUAUAAUUAGGUCUUUAACAUCCCUGGAGGGACAGCCAAAUUUAAAUAAUAAUUUGAUACACAGCUGUGAGGCAUUUGCGAGCUUUUUUGCGGAGAAGGUCCUGUUGCUCCACCGUGACCGUGACCUCCCUGCCAAUUUGGAUACAAUAACAGAACUGGAGGCCCCUUGACUGUCCUCGGAUCCAAUAUUGGACCACUUUGACCGGAUAUCCCCAGCCGAUGUGGACAGACUCCUCCGAGCUGGAAAGCCCACCACCUGUCCUCUUGACACGUGCCCGUCCUGGCUGAUUAAAGCAUGUCCAGACGAGGUGCGGACCCCCCUAGGGGAUAUUAUCAAUUUCUCCCUUGGCACCGGGACAUUCCCAGGGGAACUGAAGGAGGCAGUGGUGCGCCUGCUCUUAAAGAAAACAUCAUUAGAUCAUUUAGAUCUAUCCAAUUACCGCCUGGUUUCGAAUCUUCCGUUCCUGGGUAAGGUGAUUGAGAGAGCGGUUGCUGAACAGCUUGGUGGGUUUCUGGAUGAAACAUCAGCUCUGGAUCCAUUCCAAUCCGGCUUCCGCGCUGGUCAUGGGACCUAGACGGCUCUGGUUGCCCUAACAGAUGAUCUCCGCAGGCAGCUGGAUCGAGGCGGGUCGUGGCUGCUGAUUCUUCUAGACCUGUCAGCAGCCUUCAACAUGGUCGAUCACGAACUCCUGGACCACCGCCUUGCCGACGUGGGGAUCCAGGGCACAGUCCUUCAAUGGCUGCACUCGUUUCUCUCUGGUCGGGGACAGAGGGUGGUGCUUGGAGGGGAACUGUCAUCACGCCACUCCUUGGUGUGUGGAGUGCCUCAGGGUGCAAUACUCUCCCUGAUGCUUUUCAACAUCUUUAAGCGACCCCUCGCCCAGCUUGUCUGGAGUUUUGGGUUGGGCUGCCAUCAGUAUGCUGAUGACAUCCAACUCUAUCUGUUGAUGGAUGGCCAUCCUGACUCGGCCCCAGACACACUGAUCAGAUGUUUGGAAGCUGUGGCUGGAUGGUUACGUGGGAGCAGGUUAAAGUUAAAUCCUUCGAAGACAGAGGUCCUCUGGCUGGGACGGGACGAUAUGGGAUUGAGGGGGCA
This is a non-coding RNA of Podarcis lilfordi (Lilford's wall lizard), 11285 nucleotides long. Lineage: Eukaryota; Metazoa; Chordata; Lepidosauria; Squamata; Lacertidae. The record is from the annotation of a GenBank genome assembly.